GAACUUCUCGAUGGUGUUAGAAGAUGUGUACAACAGAUCAACAAAGCAAACCGUGGUGACCUUACUCCCGAGGAGUUGAAAGAACGACAGGCUAAGGGAAUGCAAGACCCAGAAAUCCAGAACAUUCUCACAGAUCCUGUAAUGAGACAGGUACUGUCUGAUCUCCAGGAGAAUCCAGCAGCAGCACAAAAACACAUGCAGAACCCAAUGAUCAUGAACAAAAUCCAAAAGCUGAUCAGCUCAGGAAUUGUCCAGAUGAAAUAAACCCAGAAGUGAAGACAUUAUUGAUUUCGAUUUCCGCUGAUUUGUUACUCUUUUACAACUUCAAACACUAAGAUCAAAUUCUUCGUCAUUUUCAGACUUUUUUGAUAUAUCAUUUUUCUCUCA
This is a non-coding RNA of Camelina sativa (false flax), 387 nucleotides long. Lineage: Eukaryota; Viridiplantae; Streptophyta; Magnoliopsida; Brassicales; Brassicaceae. The record is from RefSeq and is a predicted model, not a curated record.